RNAcentral lists this ribosomal RNA (500 nucleotides) under uncultured Glomeromycotina. RNAcentral describes it as "partial small subunit ribosomal RNA". It matches the Rfam family "Eukaryotic small subunit ribosomal RNA", at positions 591 to 1092 of the family's 1831-position model. The record is from RNAcentral. Lineage: Eukaryota; Fungi; Glomeromycota.
CCAAUAGCGUAUAUUAAAGUUGUUGCAGUUAAAAAGCUCGUAGUUGAAUUUCGGGGUUAGUAGGUUGGUCGUGCCACUGGUAUGUACUGGCUUUACUGAUUCCUCCUUCUUGAAGAACUGUAAUGUCAUUAAUUUGGUGUUGCAGGGAAACAGGACUGUUACUUUGAAAAAAUUAGAGUGUUUAAAGCAGGCUAACGCCUGAAUACAUUAGCAUGGAAUAAUGAAAUAGGACGUUUGAUCCUAUUUUGUUGGUUUCUAGGAUUGACGUAAUGAUUAAUAGGGAUAGUUGGGGGCAUUAGUAUUCAAUUGUCAGAGGUGAAAUUCUUGGAUUUAUUGAAGACUAACUACUGCGAAAGCAUUUGCCAAGGAUGUUUUCAUUAAUCAAGAACGAAAGUUAGGGGAUCGAAGACGAUCAGAUACCGUCGUAGUCUUAACCAUAAACUAUGCCGACUAGGGAUCGGAUGAUGUUAAUUUUUUAAUGACUCAUUCGGCGCCUUACG